CGUUUCUCCGCCGGCGACCGGCGCACGGGUGAGUAACACGUAUGCAACCUGCCCCUGUCAGGGGGACAACCCCGCCGAAAGGCGGGCUAAACCCGCGUACAUGCCACCGGGCAUCCCGGAGGCAGGAAAGGCUUCGGCCGGACAGGGAUGGGCAUGCGGCGCAUUAGGCAGUAGGCGGGGUAACGGCCCACCUAACCGACGAUGCGUAGGGGUUCUGAGAGGAAGGUCCCCCACACUGGUACUGAGACACGGACCAGACUCCUACGGGAGGCAGCAG
This 277-nucleotide ribosomal RNA is filed under the name uncultured bacterium. Its description in RNAcentral is "partial 16S ribosomal RNA". It matches the Rfam family "Bacterial small subunit ribosomal RNA", at positions 76 to 354 of the family's 1533-position model. The record is from RNAcentral.